This 264-nucleotide unclassified non-coding RNA is filed under the name air metagenome. RNAcentral's name for it is "partial contains small subunit ribosomal RNA, internal transcribed spacer 1, and 5.8S ribosomal RNA". The stretch from base 1 to 46 matches the Rfam family "Eukaryotic small subunit ribosomal RNA", at positions 1786 to 1831 of the family's 1831-position model. The record is from RNAcentral.
AAGUCGUAACAAGGUUUCCGUAGGUGAACCUGCGGAAGGAUCAUUAAUGAAUUGAAACAGGCUGUAAGCUGAUCUCUAUCUGAGAUAUGUGCACGCCUGGCCAUCAUUCAAACCUCUGUGCACCUAUUGUAGGGAUGGUGAAAGUCUUUGAUUAGUCUGAAACCUCUCUAUGUUUUUACUACAAACGCUUCAGUUAUAGAAUGUCAAUCUUUGGGUAUAAUGGAAAUAUAUAUACAACUUUCAGCAACGGAUCUCUUGGCUCUC